Molecule: non-coding RNA, 975 nt
Organism: Podarcis lilfordi (Lilford's wall lizard)
Lineage: Eukaryota; Metazoa; Chordata; Lepidosauria; Squamata; Lacertidae
Source: the annotation of a GenBank genome assembly
CAGGGAAUAUGAUAUGGCUGUCGUGGUGAAAAAAGCUGUUUUAAAUAAACUUUUUGCCAGUGCCUGAUUAUUAUUCAAGGCAUAGGAUCAUGUUGUUGUUGUUGUUUAGUCGUUUAGUCGUGUCCGACUCUUCGUGACCCCAUGGACCAGAGCACGCCAGGCACUCCUGUCUUCCACUGCCUCCCACAGUUUCGUCAAACUCAUGCUGGUAGCUUCGAGAACACUGUCCAACCAUCUCGUCCUCUGUCGUCCCCUUCUCCUUGUGCCCUCCAUCUUUCCCAACAUCAGGGUCUUUUCCAGGGAGUCUUGUCUUCUCAUGAGGUGGCCAAAGUAUUGGAGCCUCAACUUCACGAUCUGUCCUUCCAGUGAGCACUCAGGGGUGAUUUCCUUAAGAAUGGGUGCGUUUGAUCUUCUUGCAGUCCAUGGGACUCUCAAGAGUCUCCUCCAGCACCAUAAUUCAAAAGCAUCAAUUCUUCGGCGAUCAGCCUUCUUGAUGGUCCAGCUCUCACUUCCAUACAUCACUACUGGCAAAACCAUGGCUUUAACUAUACGGACCUUUGUUGGCAAGGGGAUGUCUCUGCUUUUUAAGAUGCUGUCUAGAUAGGAUCAUACUACACUCCCAUUCUCUAUGACAAGAAGCAUAUUAGCAAAAAACAAACUAGCCUUUAGUGAGAUCAGCCUCCACAAUAUCUGUUCAGAAAGACAGGCAAUAUUGUUUGUAGAAUUUCACGCCCAGAAGAAGUUCUAUAGUAUUUAAUAUACUGAAUGCUUAAUAUAGUGACACGUGUCUGCUCAAGCAGGAUUUCCAAAGAUCAGGGACACCAAGACCAAGCAAUUCAUGCCUGUUUCCCUGCGCAAGAUUCUUACUGGAGGCUCAAACAUGAGCCUAACCAAACUGCGGGAGGCAGUGGGAGCCAAAGUUUGUGAAUCACUCUGCAAUUUUCUAAAUUUAAAGCAGUGUAACCUAGUUUCUCC